GGUGAGAUGGCCGAGUUGGUUAUGGCGCCAGGUUAAGGUCUUCUCUUAACAUCUAAUUCCUGGUCACGAAAGUGGCGUGGGUUCGAGUCCCACUCUCAUCA
Westerdykella ornata is the source of this 101-nucleotide non-coding RNA. The record is from the annotation of a RefSeq genome assembly. Lineage: Eukaryota; Fungi; Ascomycota; Dothideomycetes; Pleosporales; Sporormiaceae.